RNAcentral lists this ribosomal RNA (433 nucleotides) under uncultured bacterium. RNAcentral describes it as "partial 16S ribosomal RNA". It matches the Rfam family "Bacterial small subunit ribosomal RNA", at positions 29 to 507 of the family's 1533-position model. The record is from RNAcentral.
AACGAACGCUGGCGGCAUGCCUAACACAUGCAAGUCGAACGAGACCUUCGGGUCUAGUGGCUCACGGGUGUGUAACGCGUGGGAAGCUGCCCUUAGGCUCGGAAUAACUCUCCUACAGGGGUGCUAAUACCGGAAAAUGUCUUCGGACAAAAGAUUUAACGCCUUUGGAUGGGCCGGCGUUGGAUAAGCUAGUUGGUAGGGUAAAAGCCUACCAAGGCGACGAUCCAUAGCUGGGCAGUGAGAAUGAUCAGCGACACUGGGACUAGGACACGGCGCAGACUCCUACGGGAUGCAGCAAUGCGGAAUAUUGGACAAUCGGCGAAGGGCAGAAGCAGCAAUGGUGCGAGAGUGAUGAAGGCCGUAAAGUUGUACAGCACGUUUACACGGCAUGAUAAUGACAGUACCGAAAGAAUAAGCAGCGGCUAACUCCGUG